This 31-nucleotide non-coding RNA is filed under the name Rattus norvegicus (Norway rat). The record is from RNAcentral. Lineage: Eukaryota; Metazoa; Chordata; Mammalia; Rodentia; Muridae.
UGGGUGUUGGCUAAAUGUUUGCAGAUUAAGC